This 773-nucleotide ribosomal RNA is filed under the name uncultured bacterium. RNAcentral describes it as "bacterial SSU rRNA". It matches the Rfam family "Bacterial small subunit ribosomal RNA", at positions 59 to 801 of the family's 1533-position model. The record is from RNAcentral.
CAGUCGACGAACUUCUUUAUCACCGAGUGCUUGCACUCACCGAUAAAGAGUUGAGUGGCGAACGGGUGAGUAACACGUGGGCAACCUGCCCAAAAGAGGGGGAUAACACUUGGAAACAGGUGCUAAUACCGCAUAACCAUAGUUACCGCAUGGUAACUAUGUAAAAGGUGGCUAUGCUACCGCUUUUGGAUGGGCCCGCGACGCAUUAGCUAGUUGGUGGGGUAAAGGCUUACCAAGGCAAUGAUGCGUAGCCGAACUGAGAGGUUGAUCGGCCACAUUGGGACUGAGACACGGCCCAAACUCCUACGGGAGGCAGCAGUAGGGAAUCUUCCACAAUGGGCGAAAGCCUGAUGGAGCAACGCCGCGUGGGUGAAGAAGGUCUUCGGAUCGUAAAACCCUGUUGUUAGAGAAGAAAGUGCGUGAGAGUAACUGUUCACGUUUCGACGGUAUCUAACCAGAAAGCCACGGCUAACUACGUGCCAGCAGCCGCGGUAAUACGUAGGUGGCAAGCGUUAUCCGGAUUUAUUGGGCGUAAAGAGAACGCAGGCGGUCUUUUAAGUCUGAUGUGAAAGCCUUCGGCUUAACCGGAGUAGUGCAUUGGAAACUGGGAGACUUGAGUGCAGAAGAGGAGAGUGGAACUCCAUGUGUAGCGGUGAAAUGCGUAGAUAUAUGGAAGAACACCAGUGGCGAAAGCGGCUCUCUGGUCUGUAACUGACGCUGAGGUUCGAAAGCGUGGGUAGCAAACAGGAUUAGAUACCCUGGUAGUCCACGCC